Molecule: transfer RNA, 71 nt
Filed under: Geobiastes squamiger
Lineage: Eukaryota; Metazoa; Chordata; Aves; Coraciiformes; Brachypteraciidae
Description: tRNA-Pro
Rfam family: tRNA
About the family: Transfer RNA (tRNA) molecules are approximately 80 nucleotides in length. Their secondary structure includes four short double-helical elements and three loops (D, anti-codon, and T loops).
Source: RNAcentral
AAUAGUUUAAGGUAAAAUGCCAGCUUUGGGAGUUGGAGAUGGAGGUUUAAGUCCUCUUUUUCUGAGGGUUG